Molecule: unclassified non-coding RNA, 258 nt
Filed under: Hevea brasiliensis (rubber tree)
Lineage: Eukaryota; Viridiplantae; Streptophyta; Magnoliopsida; Malpighiales; Euphorbiaceae
Source: RNAcentral
GUGCAAUAUCUUGUCUGGCUUGAUAAGCAGAUGCAGGAAAUAUAUGGAGCAUCUGGUUAUUUCAUGGAGGCUGAGAGUACCAAACAGAAGAAACAACUGGGGACUAAAAGACUGACAGAAGUCUCUGUGAGUGAUAAGCUGGAGGAGUUCCGUGCAUCAAAGGAGCAUUUUAGAGGAUUAAGUUUCCGAACUACCUCUUCUGUUGGCUCAAAUGCAGCCAUUAUCCACUAUAAACCUGAGGCAGAAACAUGUGCUGAA